This 495-nucleotide ribosomal RNA is filed under the name uncultured beta proteobacterium. RNAcentral describes it as "bacterial SSU rRNA". It matches the Rfam family "Bacterial small subunit ribosomal RNA", at positions 115 to 606 of the family's 1533-position model. Lineage: Bacteria; Pseudomonadati; Pseudomonadota; Betaproteobacteria. The record is from RNAcentral.
ACAUCGGAACGUGCCCAGUCGUGGGGGAUAACGUAGCGAAAGCUACGCUAAUACCGCAUACGAACUCUGGUUGAAAGCGGGGGAUCGCAAGACCUCGCGCGAUUGGAGCGGCCGAUGGCAGAUUAGGUAGUUGGUGGGGUAAAGGCCUACCAAGCCGACGAUCUGUAGCUGGUCUGAGAGGACGACCAGCCACACUGGGACUGAGACACGGCCCAGACUCCUACGGGAGGCAGCAGUGGGGAAUUUUGGACAAUGGGCGCAAGCCUGAUCCAGCCAUUCCGCGUGCAGGAUGAAGGCCCUCGGGUUGUAAACUGCUUUUGUACGGAACGAAAAGGCCUUUUCUAAUACAGAGGGCUCAUGACGGUACCGUAAGAAUAAGCACCGGCUAACUACGUGCCAGCAGCCGCGGUAAUACGUAGGGUGCAAGCGUUAAUCGGAAUUACUGGGCGUAAAGCGUGCGCAGGCGGUUAUGUAAGACAGGUGUGAAAUCCCCGG